AUGAGCAUCAUCCACGAUUUUGGACUUGCGUCAGGGUUGAAAGUAAACCUGCAGAAAUCUUCGGUGGCUGCAAUUAGAUGCGAUCAAGUUAACCUGCAGCAGGUGCUCCAGAACUUUGGUGGGCAACAAACUCAGUUCCCCCUUCGAUACCUUGGGAUCCCAGUGACACUCUCUAGGCUUCGCAUAGUACACCUACAAUUCAUCCUCAACCGAAUCAGAGCUCGUCUAGCAGGCUGGAAAGGGCGACUGCUCACCAUUGCGGGAUGGCGAGUACUCAUCAGAAGUGUUCUGUCAGCACUUCCCACCUUUGCCCUGACGGUACUGAAGGUGCCAAAUAAGCUACUCGCUGAGAUAGACAAGAUCAGAAGGCGUUUCCUCUAG
Molecule: ribosomal RNA, 381 nt
Filed under: Triticum aestivum (bread wheat)
Lineage: Eukaryota; Viridiplantae; Streptophyta; Magnoliopsida; Poales; Poaceae
Description: partial small subunit ribosomal RNA
Source: RNAcentral